CUUUUUUUUUUAUAUUGGUGAUUAAUUGCUUGGUCUAAGGUCAGAGCGCUUCGCAGUGUAAAUGCGUUACGAACACCACAAGACUUCACACACCAAUUAUUCACUUUAUUCUAGUGGUUUAUUUAACCGUGCAAUGGUUGAGAUCCCUAAAGAUUUAUGCACUAGUACCCAUGUAGCGAGCGUUGGGUCAACAAUCCCAAACCACGAAGGGCUUUAGGUUGUUAGGCACAAAGUCCCCUCAGACUUAAUUACUCGAGUACUAAUGAGCUCAACCUAGUUAAUUCUACCACUUAUUUUU
RNAcentral lists this long non-coding RNA (298 nucleotides) under Daucus carota (carrot). Its description in RNAcentral is "long non-coding RNA (DCAR_LNC000584)". The record is from RNAcentral. Lineage: Eukaryota; Viridiplantae; Streptophyta; Magnoliopsida; Apiales; Apiaceae.